This 253-nucleotide ribosomal RNA is filed under the name uncultured bacterium. Its description in RNAcentral is "partial 16S ribosomal RNA". It matches the Rfam family "Bacterial small subunit ribosomal RNA", at positions 524 to 776 of the family's 1533-position model. The record is from RNAcentral.
GACGUAGGAUGCAAGCGUUGUCCGGAUUUAUUGGGCGUAAAGAGUUCGUAGGCGGUCCGUUAAGUCUGAUGUUAAAGAUCGGGGCUCAACCCUGGGAGUGCAUUGGAUACUGGCGGACUGGAGUGCGGUAGAGGCUAGUGGAAUUCCCAGUGUAGCGGUGAAAUGCGUAGAUAUUGGGAAGAACACCAGUGGCGUAGGCGACUAGCUGGGCCGUAACUGACGCUGAGGAACGAAAGCGUGGGUAGCAAACAGG